GGCACGAGGGCAAAGCCUUACAUGGCUGCAAGGGCCUUACCUCUGAUAGCCAAGGAUGACUUGCCUAUGUCUUCUUCCUCCCUCAGAUGCCUAAUUAGCCUUGGAGGUGUGGGGUCUCAUGGGCAGUCACCUUGGCUAGCCUGAGUGGCU
Molecule: microRNA precursor, 150 nt
Filed under: Lolium arundinaceum
Lineage: Eukaryota; Viridiplantae; Streptophyta; Magnoliopsida; Poales; Poaceae
Source: RNAcentral